RNAcentral lists this ribosomal RNA (301 nucleotides) under uncultured bacterium. RNAcentral's name for it is "partial 16S ribosomal RNA". It matches the Rfam family "Bacterial small subunit ribosomal RNA", at positions 509 to 808 of the family's 1533-position model. The record is from RNAcentral.
CAGCAGCCACGGUAAUACGAAGGGUGCAAGCGUUACUCGGAAUUACUGGGCGUAAAGCGUGCGUAGGUGGUGGUUUAAGUCCGUUGUGAAAGCCCUGGGCUCAACCUGGGAAUUGCAGUGGAUACUGGGUCACUAGAGUGUGGUAGAGGAUAGUGGAAUUUCCGGUGUAGCAGUGAAAUGCGUAGAGAUCGGAAGGAACAUCUGUGGCGAAGGCGACUAUCUGGGCCAACACUGACACUGAGGCACGAAAGCGUGGGGAGCAAACAGGAUUAGAUACCCCCGUAGUCCCUGUCUCUAUACA